CCCCACCAUUUCCGUGGCUACGGCACACUGAGCUGGAACUUUGGAAGUGACAUGGCUGUGUCUGUGCCAUGGUACCUGGGGCUGGCAUUUCGGACACGGGCAACGCAGGGGGUCCUGAUGCAAGUGCAGGCUGGGCCACACAGCACGCUCCUUUGCCAGAUCGGGGGUUACUGUCUGUGACAGUGACCAGGGGCUCGGGCCGUGCUUCCCAUCUCCUUCUGGACCAGGUGACUGUCAGUGAUGGCCGGUGGCACGAUCUGCAGCUGGAGUUGCAGGAGGAACCAGGUGGCCGGCGGGGCCACCAUGUCCUUAUGGUCUCACUGGACUUUAGCCUCUUCCAGGUCUGGCCUCUGACCCCGGGGUAGUCUGUUCUCAGCCUUCCAACCAGAUCCGCCUUUUUUGACCCCACCUCUAGUCCAGCUCCUCUCAGUUCCCUCCACUGCACUGAGUCUGAUGUUCUACCCCCAGUUCCCCACCAUAUAUCCUUGCACUGAGCCCACCCACCAGCCAAGUUGGUCCACUCUCAAGCCCUCUUUGUGCCAGAUUUGGGGCCUGGUCUUGGGGAACCUCUG
Molecule: long non-coding RNA, 572 nt
Filed under: Pan troglodytes (chimpanzee)
Lineage: Eukaryota; Metazoa; Chordata; Mammalia; Primates; Hominidae
Description: long non-coding RNA NONPTRT011919
Source: RNAcentral